This 363-nucleotide ribosomal RNA is filed under the name Ochlerotatus caspius. RNAcentral describes it as "eukaryotic LSU rRNA". The stretch from base 1 to 97 matches the Rfam family "5.8S ribosomal RNA", at positions 53 to 154 of the family's 154-position model. The record is from RNAcentral. Lineage: Eukaryota; Metazoa; Arthropoda; Insecta; Diptera; Culicidae.
AUGCGCGUCGAUGUGACUGCAGGACACAUGAACACCGACAAGUUGAACGCAUAUUGCACAUCGUACAACAGUACGAUGUACACAUUUUUGAGUGCCUAUAUUUAUCUAUUCAACUAUACGUGUGUGCGCGUUUCACUUCGGGUGGACAGGCGCACGGCCCAUAAGCACGUAUGCGUAGUGAUGCGUUGCCCGCCUUCGGUGGCGGUCAAACAUUGAAGAUAGUCAGGCGCGGCGUCCUCGCGACGACGUGGUUGAUGAAUACAUCCCAUAUGCCACACCAUCGCGUUGGAUAUGUUGUAUUCCAUCACACACAAUAGCAUAUAUCAGUAGGCCUCAAAUAAUGUGUGACUACCCCCUAAAUUU